AUUGAACGCUGGCGGCAGGCCUAACACAUGCAAGUCGAGCGGACGAGGGGGCUUUGUUCCUGGAUUCGGCGGCGACGGGUGGAGAAAUGCCUAGGAAUCCGCCGGGAAGGGGGGAAAAACGUCCGGAAACGGGCGCUAAUACCGACUACGUCCUGAGGGAGAAAGGGGGGGGUCUUCGGCCCUCACGCUACCAAUUGAGCCUAGGCCGGAUGAGCUAGUGGGUGGGGUAAAGGCCUACCAAGGCGACGAUCCGUAACUGGUCUGAGAGGAUGACCACUCACACUGGAGCUGAGACACGGUCCAGACUCCUACGGGAGGCCGCAGUGGGGAAUAUUGGACAAUGGGCGAAAGCCUGAUCCAGCCAUGCCGCGUGUGUGAAGAAGGUCUUCGGAUUGUAAAGCGCUUUAAGUUGGGAGGAAGGGCAGUAAGUUAAUACCUUGCUGUUUUGACGUUACCAACAGAAUAAGCACCGGCUAACUUCGUG
This 484-nucleotide ribosomal RNA is filed under the name uncultured bacterium. RNAcentral's name for it is "partial 16S ribosomal RNA". It matches the Rfam family "Bacterial small subunit ribosomal RNA", at positions 30 to 507 of the family's 1533-position model. The record is from RNAcentral.